AAUACACCCCACGUUACAGGUGCCUUUUAGGCUUAAUAGGGAAGUUCGGUGAAGUUUAUAAUCCGACGCUGCCCCCGCAACGGUAAUUAAGUAAAUGUUUAGCUAAUAACCACUUUAUUGCUGCAAUAUGGGAAGGUGCUAAAUAGGCGCAAGCCACUUAUGAGUCCGGAGACCUACCUUUAACAAUUGGCAAUG
Molecule: non-coding RNA, 195 nt
Filed under: Cycloclasticus sp. symbiont of Bathymodiolus heckerae
Lineage: Bacteria; Pseudomonadati; Pseudomonadota; Gammaproteobacteria; Thiotrichales; Piscirickettsiaceae
Also listed under: 1 other name
Source: RNAcentral